RNAcentral lists this transfer RNA (69 nucleotides) under Myadora brevis. RNAcentral describes it as "tRNA-Asn". It matches the Rfam family "tRNA". Rfam says of the family: Transfer RNA (tRNA) molecules are approximately 80 nucleotides in length. The record is from RNAcentral. Lineage: Eukaryota; Metazoa; Mollusca; Bivalvia; Myochamidae.
GAGGUUGAAGUUUAAAGAACGUUUAGUUGUUACCUAAAAGGUGUGGGUUAAUUAUUCUCACCAGCUUCG